AUUGUACGCUGGCGGCAUGCCUUACACAUGCAAGUCGAACGGCAGCACGGGAGCAAUCCUGGUGGCGAGUGGCGAACGGGUGAGUAAUGUAUCGGAACGUACCUUUCAGUGGGGGAGUAACGUAGCGAAAGUUACGCUAAUACCGCAUAUUCUGUGAGCAGGAAAGCAGGGGAGUCGCAAGACCUUGCGCUGAUUGAGCGGCCGAUAUCAGAUUAGCUAGUUGGUGAGGUAAAGGACUCACCAAGGCGACGAUCUGUAGCGGGUCGUGAGAGGAUGAUCCGCCACACUGGAACUGAGACACGGUCCAGACUCCUACGGGAGGCAGCAGUGGGGAAGUUUU
Molecule: ribosomal RNA, 340 nt
Filed under: uncultured bacterium
Lineage: Bacteria
Description: bacterial SSU rRNA
Rfam family: Bacterial small subunit ribosomal RNA
Source: RNAcentral